CGCCUGUUUUAACAAAAACAUAGUUUAAAGAAAGAAAUUUUAGAUAGAUUCUGCUCAAUGAUAAACUUAAAUAGCUGCAGUAAAUUAACUGUACUAAGGUAGCAUAAUAAAUUGCUUUAUAAUUGAAAGCUUGAAUGAAGGAAACAAUGAAAAACAAACUUUUUAAUCUAAAAAAGUAAAAAUUAGUAUUUAAGUGAAAAAUCUUAAAUUAAAUCAAAAGACAAGAAGACCCUUUAGAACUUUACAAGCCUCAUCAUCUUAACUGGAUUGUCUUGUUAAAUUGGGGAGAUUUUUAAAUAAAUAAAUCUUUAAAUAUAAUAAGAUGAUAUACUUCAAAUUAAAUUAUCCACGUAUGAACUAAAACAAGUUACCUAAGGGAUAACAGCGCAAAAUUUUUGAGAAGAUCUUAUUCACAAAAUACAUUGCGACCUCGAUGUUGGAUUAAGAAUAACUUAUAGAGAAAAAUUUAUAAGAAUUGGUCUGUUCGCCCAAGUGAGUCUUACAUGAUCUGAGUUCAAACCGG
This 523-nucleotide ribosomal RNA is filed under the name Bemisia tabaci. RNAcentral describes it as "partial 16S ribosomal RNA". It matches the Rfam family "Archaeal large subunit ribosomal RNA", at positions 1889 to 2688 of the family's 2987-position model. The record is from RNAcentral. Lineage: Eukaryota; Metazoa; Arthropoda; Insecta; Hemiptera; Aleyrodidae.